Molecule: ribosomal RNA, 46 nt
Filed under: Bacillus altitudinis
Lineage: Bacteria; Bacillati; Bacillota; Bacilli; Caryophanales; Bacillaceae
Description: 23S rRNA. Bacterial LSU
Source: RNAcentral
UGACACGUGGAGCUGACAGAUACUAAUAGAUCGAGGACUUAACCUA